This 26-nucleotide non-coding RNA is filed under the name Homo sapiens (human). The record is from RNAcentral. Lineage: Eukaryota; Metazoa; Chordata; Mammalia; Primates; Hominidae.
UGUGAGGCCUGAGGAUGCACACGGGC